AGUGAACGCUGGCGGUAGGCCUAACACAUGCAAGUCGAACGGCAGCACAGGAGAGCUUGCUCUCUGGGUGGCGAGUGGCGGACGGGUGAGGAAUACAUCGGAAUCUACUUUUUCGUGGGGGAUAACGUAGGGAAACUUACGCUAAUACCGCAUACGACCUACGGGUGAAAGCAGGGGACCUUCGGGCCUUGCGCGAUUGAAUGAGCCGAUGUCGGAUUAGCUAGUUGGCGGGGUAAAGGCCCACCAAGGCGACGAUCCGUAGCUGGUCUGAGAGGAUGAUCAGCGCAACUGGAAAUGGGACACGGUCCAGACUACUACGGGAGGCAGCAGUGGGGAAUAUUGGACAAUGGGCGCAAGCCUGAUCCAGCCAUACCGCGUGGGUGAAGAAGGCCUUCGGGUUGUAAAGCCCUUUUGUUGGGAAAGAAAUCCAGCUGGCUAAUACCCGGUUGGGAUGACGGUACCCAAAGAAUAAGCACCGGCUAACUUCGUGCCAGCCGCCGCUGUAA
This 506-nucleotide ribosomal RNA is filed under the name uncultured bacterium. Its description in RNAcentral is "partial 16S ribosomal RNA". It matches the Rfam family "Bacterial small subunit ribosomal RNA", at positions 29 to 523 of the family's 1533-position model. The record is from RNAcentral.